RNAcentral lists this ribosomal RNA (412 nucleotides) under Firmicutes bacterium Jbg3. Its description in RNAcentral is "bacterial SSU rRNA". It matches the Rfam family "Bacterial small subunit ribosomal RNA", at positions 507 to 917 of the family's 1533-position model. Lineage: Bacteria; Bacillati; Bacillota. The record is from RNAcentral.
GCCAGCAGCCGCGGUAAUACGUAGGUGGCAAGCGUUGUCCGGAUUUAUUGGGCGUAAAGCGAGCGCAGGCGGUCAAUUAAGUCUGAUGUGAAAGCCCCCGGCUCAACCGGGGAGGGUCAUUGGAAACUGGUUGACUUGAGUGCAGAAGAGGAGAGUGGAAUUCCAUGUGUAGCGGUGAAAUGCGUAGAUAUAUGGAGGAACACCAGUGGCGAAGGCGACUCUCUGGUCUGUAACUGACGCUGAGGCUCGAAAGCGUGGGUAGCAAACAGGAUUAGAUACCCUGGUAGUCCACGCCGUAAACGAUGAGUGCUAAGUGUUGGAGGGUUUCCGCCCUUCAGUGCUGCAGUUAACGCAUUAAGCACUCCGCCUGGGGAGUACGACCGCAAGGUUGAAACUCAAAGGAAUUGACGGA